AUAUUCUGACUUCGAUCUAGUACAUCGCACCAUAUUUAAAGUAGAAAAAAAUAAAAAUUCGUAUUGAGUUUCACAUUAAAACUCUGCCUUUCGGUACUGCAAUUAAUUAAAAACAAAAAUAGAAAAAGUUACGAAAAAAUUUAUUAAACGAAUUCUUUCACCGCUUAAUCGACUUGUUUUAACUAUUAAUGGAAGUUUAAGUGAGUAGGAUGAAUACCUCCCCAUAAAAAAAAAAGGAAAAAGAGAGAAGUAAAAAUUGCCAGAAAUGAGUCGCAUCGUCAUCGUCUCUGAUGGAGAAGUUAUCCUUCAUUAAACGGUUUAUCGAUAUAGUUUUCGGGAGGAAAUAUGCGAUUUUUGUUUAAUGGAUGUUUGGUUAGUUCUUCGACAUGUUCCAUUCGAGUUUAUCAUAAGAAAAGAAAACGGGGGGGAAAAAUCAGUCCCGCCUCUUACAUUUCUUCAUUAUUGCAGCAUUAAGAUCUUGAUAAAGGAUAAUGUCUACCGGAAAAUAAAUUGCUAAGUUCCUCCCAAGCUAGAAAUCUGCGCUUGUGUAUACAGAGUUAAAGAGAUGAAAACUCAAUUAUCAUGCAAAAAAAAAAAACACGGCAUAGAAUAAUUCCAGAUUAGAAUUUUAAAUUAGGCCUUCUUCAAAAUUAUACGUGUUUAUACCAGAGCAAAACGAAUUGAUGUUUAAAUAGAAGAAAAAAAAAAAAAGAGAGUUAAAAGUUCAAUUUUCUCACAGAAACCAUUUUUAACAUGUUUAAUUUUUGUAUACAUAAGAUUAAAUUCUUUUUUUCUUCUUUUUCUAUUAAAGAAUCCAUCCUGUUACAGUGCAAUCUAGUCGAACUCGCUUGGGUUUUGGUAUCUUUAAAAAAAAAAAAUUGCUGUAGUUCGGCUUGUAUAAACAAUUUCACAGAUUUUAAAAAUCGAAUUUCGUGUGGAAUAUCAUUAAAUCUUUUCGGUGAAUAUAAACAUGUAGAAUCAGCAGAAUUACUCCGGCUUGGUGGAGCAAAUAUGGUUUAGAAUGUUGUAAGGCGAAUUUCCGUGUUCUAUCAACCGUUUCAGAACAUUCAUACAUCACUUUUAGAGUUGUAUAUUCUUGUGUUGACUCUCUUCUAGGAAAUGGGUUAACACAAAGGGACUACGAUCUAUAUAGUGGAAACUUAAACUAUUCUACCCGUAUUGGAUCCGUUAGCAGUCUAUAUACUCAAUUUUCUAUUAAUUUAUAUACUCCUACACGAAAUUUAUAGACAACUUAGUAAUUUAAUCAUCGUUUAUUCAAAUGAGUUUAAGCUUCAAACACGUUAAUAUUCAUUGAUCGAAGAUUUAUUUUAGUAAGAAACUCGGCCCUGUUUAUUCAGUGUAAGUUGACAGGUUUGACUUUAUCCAUAUAAUUAUCUGACCUUCGAUCGGAGAUGCUAAUUAACUUGAAGGAAUAUAACACACUUCUUCGUCAUCUUAUAUGUUAUAUUUCAUCUACAACUUCUGGCUGAACUUGUGAACUGAGAAAAUAACCUUUCGACAUUUUCAAUUUAUCCACUUUCGACUGUAUUGGACGAGUUAGAGAGAUGGAGAGAGAGAGAGAGAGAACUCGAAAGUCGUAAAAAAACCGAAUGUGUUUCGGAAAUUAUCUGAUUGAACGAGAUCAUUUUUCGACUUUUCUGCUUAUUUAAUCUCACCAGAUUUUAGUAAUGAGAGUCAGCUUCUCAAAAAUUGAUAUGUGAAUGCGCUCUCGGUCCAAAGAAGAAAAGUCAACACUCUUAUUAAUUAGAUGUACCUUCAAGAUAUGAUUCUGUUGAUACAGAAGGAUUAUGUAAACAUCACAAUUAAAUAAUCGCAAGUCUGUGAAAUUUUUAAUUAAACUACACUUAAAAAUUUAAUAUAAUUUAUAUACAUUUUAAUUUUUUCCGUUUUAUUUUUACUUUCUUUAAAAAACACAAAAAAAUUACUUAAAAGAAUG
RNAcentral lists this long non-coding RNA (1957 nucleotides) under Androctonus crassicauda. Lineage: Eukaryota; Metazoa; Arthropoda; Arachnida; Scorpiones; Buthidae. The record is from RNAcentral.